UUUUAGAAUGAGUGUUGAAUUCAGCGAUAAAAGUUUACAAAAAUAUAUUUGCACAGUAAAAUUACUUAUGGGUGCGUUUGGUUCGCACUAUAAAAGAUUACUAGCAAUAAAGAGAUAUCUGCAAAUCUUAUUCAUAUUCAUCCUAUUACUAAGAAUGUGACAUUCCUGUGUUUGGUUCGCACGGUUAUAUUAUUUAGUCAUGUUAUUUAAGUUUACAAAAAAUAUACAAUUAAUUUAUUUAUUUUUUUAAUGAAUUUUAGAUAAUGCCAUCAAAAAUUUCGACAUCUUUUAUAAAAAAGGAGAGAGAGAACAUAGGUUAGAGAGAGAGAGCAUAAUUAAAGAAAUAGGAAGAGAAAUAGAGUCGAGGUUAGAAGGAGCAAGAGAGUUGAGAUUUUGGAAAAAGAGGAGGAGAGAGAGCUUAGUUUAGAGAGAGAAAAAGAGUUAAAGUUUAGAGAGAAAAAAUUAAGUCUAGAAAGAGAUAUGAGGUUAGAGUGUAAACAAAAAUAAUACCAACUAACCGGCGGGUAGGGAGAAAGAAAGAGAUUAGACAUAUUAUGAUUAUCCCAAUUCAUUAAUAUGAGGAUACCCACUAUCUCUCAAGGGAAUGUGAUUAGUACUUUGGGAUGAAUCUCAUUUCCAAGUAAAUCUAAUAUUACAAACUAGAUUACUUAGUGCAUUUAGCCAAACAUCGUCAUAUUUUUUUAUUCCUAUCGAAUUACUAUGAAUCUGAAAAAGAUAGUGCAAACUAAACGCGCCCUAUAAGUAAAACAAUAGGAUUAUAAAAAUUGAAUAAACUUGCUCAACAAACUAUUAUUGAUUUUG
This 822-nucleotide long non-coding RNA is filed under the name Ananas comosus (pineapple). RNAcentral's name for it is "long non-coding RNA (ACOM_LNC019442)". The record is from RNAcentral. Lineage: Eukaryota; Viridiplantae; Streptophyta; Magnoliopsida; Poales; Bromeliaceae.